Thalassophryne amazonica is the source of this 314-nucleotide long non-coding RNA. RefSeq lists it as uncharacterized. The record is from RefSeq and is a predicted model, not a curated record. The transcript has 5 exons. Lineage: Eukaryota; Metazoa; Chordata; Actinopteri; Batrachoidiformes; Batrachoididae.
AAUGAGAACUACAUUUCCCAUAAUGCAUCGGGGGUGCGUGGGGAAAGUACGGAACUGUCUGAUAAACAAUACGCUUUACUUUCAUUUUCAUUUUUUAUGCUGAGUAACGUGAAGACGAAAUGACUUCUCUGGAUAUUGGAGUCGAGUCGAAGAAACAGGUUGAUGACUUCUGCCAGAAGCUCAACAAAGAGGCUGAAGUGCUGGUUUCAAAAAUCUUCCCUCAGAAGAUUGAUGAUCUAGAGGUGCUUUUGAAGACAUCUUUCAGUUGUGACUUGGCAUCCUUGAAAGCACCACUUGACAUCCCAAUGCCAGAC